Long non-coding RNA from Cyprinus carpio (common carp), 1537 nucleotides. NCBI's taxonomy places the organism in Eukaryota, Metazoa, Chordata, Actinopteri, Cypriniformes, Cyprinidae. The record is from Ensembl.
GCCAGAAGCUCCGCUGCGCUUCACUAAAACCCGCCCUUUACACGCCUCUCAGGAACAACGCAAACCGAGCAUGAUAAAAGCGGCCGUUUGUUUGCAUGCUUUGUUAAAUAUUUAAAUCCAAAAAGCAUCGAUGUUUUACUAUAAUUGUCCUAAGUACACUGAGCAUAAUGAAUUAAUUUAUCAGGAUUGAAAAUUACCCAGCCAGCAAUGACAUGUGGGGCCCAGAUGGGUUCCAUGGUUACUGAGUGGGCAUGGGCUUUGGCUGGGUGAAAUCAGCGGGUCCCAUGUACACUGUAAACCCUAAUGUUGUCAUUAAUAAAGAAAUCAAGUUAACAUAACUUCACAUUACUUAUAACACACAGUUUUGCCAUCAAAACUUAAACAGGUGUGUUUAACUUACUCAUUGGCAGUAAAAAUCUUUUGAAUUAAGAUUUUAAGUGUUAUAAACUCAGAAUUUCCAUUUAUUUAAAUUAUUCGCUACAUCUCUGUUUAAAAAUGAUUGGUCGUGCUUGAAAUUCUGCCUUGACAACAGCGCCGAUUGGCCAAUAUAACACAAGGCGGGAAUUUUUUGUCGAAUUUGCUGAAGACGCAGCACUGACUGCAGGCCAGAACGGAGUCAUUUGCAGAGCCACCUGAAAGAAGAACUAAAUAAUAAAGUUAAACAGGUAAGUAAAGAUUUAAACGCAACCCAUAAAUAUACACACAUUUUUUUGGUUUCCUUAUACGUUUUAUUGUAAUGUUAUUUGCAUGGUGAAAACACUUUACCGUUUUACUCUGGCAGCUGGCCAGCGGCACAAGCAGCCACACAGGCGGCGAAGCAGGCGGGAAGAGAGUCGUCGUGAAAGACUCAGAGUACGCUGGGACAGUAGCAGGCAGGCGGUUAUGAAGCAGACGAGGAGUCGUGUAUAGGAUAUAUAAGGAGUGACGUUACGCUGGUAAGUUCAUCUAUAACACGCCUGUAUAUUUUGCUUUAUUGUCUGUUAAAUGUUUUAUUUUUAUACGGAUGGACAAGGUAUAAAUGGCUUUAAGUUAAAAUCACCCAACUUCCAAACCUAGCAAUUGUUUUACAGACUAGCGCUGUUAGUUUACAAUAGGCCUUAGCAUGAUAUUGCGGCUCAAACUUCGAGAAAAAUCUAUUUACAGACACACUGAAAUGUCUCUGUGUGUAAUUUGUGAAAUGACGUUUUUUUUUUUUUGUUGUAAAAUUGGGCAGCCGCGUGAAUACUGACUUAGGCCUAACGUUAAUCGUUUUAAGAAUUUCUUUGGCGGUUCAUGUUCACUAAAAACCGCAGACCUUUUCCCGCCUGCGACACAUUUACAGAGAUAUAUUAUUAAUUAAUAGUUAUGUGGAUGUAACGUGUCCCUGGUGCAUAAUAUUAAUUAUUCUUUUUACAGUAGUUUUUAAAUGCAUCUAUGGAUUUUUAUUUUUAUUUUCUUCUUUAACAAGUUACCAUUAGCAGAGCUGUGUCUAUUUGCCAUGUCCCCAUGAGUGAUUUGUAGACUAUAAUUUUCACUGUCAGGUAACAGUGAUUUGAGA